Molecule: small RNA, 148 nt
Filed under: Callithrix jacchus (white-tufted-ear marmoset)
Lineage: Eukaryota; Metazoa; Chordata; Mammalia; Primates; Cebidae
Description: Metazoan signal recognition particle RNA (ENSCJAG00000086299.1)
Source: Rfam by way of RNAcentral
GCUGGGUGUGGUGGUGCAUGCCUGUAAUCCCAGCUACUCAGGAGGCUGAGGCAGGAGAAUCGUUUGAACCCGGGAGGCGGAGGUUGCAGUGAGCUGAGAUCGUGCCACUGCACUCUAGCCUGGGUAACAGAGUGAGACUCUGUCUCAA